RNAcentral lists this long non-coding RNA (200 nucleotides) under Elaeis guineensis (African oil palm). RNAcentral describes it as "long non-coding RNA (EGUI_LNC018751)". Lineage: Eukaryota; Viridiplantae; Streptophyta; Magnoliopsida; Arecales; Arecaceae. The record is from RNAcentral.
UGCUCCUGUAUCUGCUGUGAUGGCUCCUCCCCUAUAUCAGUAGAGGUCUGCUGGUCAUGCAGCUCAGGAAUAACUGAUGCUGUUGGAUCAUCUACGGACUGAGCGACCCCCUCAACCCUCUCAUCUGGAUAUACGGAUGGGUCUGAAAAGAAAGUGUCAUACUCAUGUGGCCAACUGGUACCCGAUGAUAUCAUCUGGGG